AAAUAAGGCCGAACACGCAGGAAACCUUGAUCCAGCACUGGAUAACUUCCUUGGGCCGAGUGCCUGGACCUUACAACCUGAAUAUACAGAUCAGACUGAAGGAUGUUUGCAACUUUCUUGAAGUGGCAUUUAAAAUAAAAGCUGAAGAGAUAAGAAAGAAGGUACAAAACUUAUAUGUGCAUAUCACGGGAGAUCGUCUAAUCCUUGAGGAAUCUCGGAGUAUGAAUUAUCCUCCUGACUGUAAGUUUUUACUCACCUUUGUGUUGUCAGGUAUACAUGUGUUGGCUUGAGGUACCCAACUUGCAUAAAUGCUAUUUAAACUUAAAAGUCCUCUUCUUCUGAGACUAAAAUUUCUUACUCUGUCGCAUCAUUUUAAAGCUACAACCACUAAACUUGGGUCAGGCUUUCACACUGGACUGAUUUGGUGUGCUACAGCUUUUCUAAUUGAUAGAACUUAGACAUACUAUUCAUUCUAUAUUAUCUUCCUAAUAUUUCUAAUAUAUCUUAAAAAAUGUUGAAUUGUUAAAACUACUACUAAUUCAAACUUCAAGAUUUUAAAACUGCUUCGAACUUCAAGCCAGCAUAAAGUUUGUCUUAAAAUUUUAAUAGUUUCUUAAAAUAUUUAACUGAUUUACAUUUUUAAAGUGGUGUUUCAUUGGUAGAUGAAGAUACACCUCCUGAUGACCCACUUCAGCAGGACCUGUCUGAGCCAAUUAAAACUCUUCUGGAGAGAGAGUUCAUCAGAUGGGAAACUAUCAUCAUAGAUGGUGUUCGAGAAAGUUUGCAGGACAUUAAAUCAUCAAUUGAGCUCUCUCAGGUUGAGAAGAGGCAAAAGUCAGUGGAUGCUGUUGAGAGAUGGCUACAGAACUACAAUCAAUAUGUUGAACAUACUAUUGAUAAAAUACAAGAUCCAGAAUCAGGGAUCAGGUCAAAGAGAAAGAUGAUGUAUUAAUAUUUCUCACUCAUUUCACUAUUUACUAAAAUAGAGAGAGCACCGAGUGUAAAUAUGUUUUAAUACACACACCCUACCCUCUGUGUGUGGUUAUGCCAAGAGCUCAGGUAACAUACUGAGAAAUCAGAUAAAUAUUUAUCUUUCACAUGCAUUCAUUAACUCACGCAAUAACCGGUUUUCACAUGACUUUCAGUACUGAUAAAGUCACUUCAUUAAAUUAACCAUUUUAUACAGACAAACCAAGACCUCUUUUAUCAGAAGUGCUGUUAAUAAAGCUUGUUGCUGUUUGAGCUGUAAGUUUGUAGUAUCAUUUUUUUUCUCUUGAAUUAAAAGAAAAGAUUCAGCAGAUCGUUGUGCUGUUGACCGUGAUCAUAACCAGAAGUUCUGGUUUGUAUAAGGAAAAACACACAAUGAUGUUUUUUGUAUGUAACACUUUAACAAAGUCACCACUGAGAAACUUAAUAUUUUGUAAAGUUGCUUUGCAGCUGUUCGUACUGUGAAGGGCAUUAUACAAAUAAACUCAAAUUGAAUAUGAUUUUAAGCUGAUGAUUAUCUGCUGUCUGAAACUGUUAACUGUAGAAACAAAGUAAAAGGUCUAAGAAAGAACUUGGAUAUCAGAUUCUACAUCUACCUUCAAAUAGAAUUAUCUGAUCCAACACAUGGACAUCAAUAUAAUGAAUGAUCAAAAAUGUACAGUACAUGAAAUUUAACCGUUCAAAUGCACAUUUUAUUCAUGCAAAAUAUUUGUAAACCAGAGCCUUAGUGAUCAAAGAGCAGUUAUUGUCGAUUUAAUUUACUUUCAUUCUACUCCAGGUACUCUACCUGUUGUAAUGUUCCUCUGAAGAAGUAUUUUUGUUUAUGAUUUGUCUGUCCCCUUGAAUUGCAAAAAAUAAAG
Long non-coding RNA from Carassius auratus (goldfish), 1847 nucleotides. RefSeq lists it as uncharacterized. Lineage: Eukaryota; Metazoa; Chordata; Actinopteri; Cypriniformes; Cyprinidae. The record is from RefSeq and is a predicted model, not a curated record. The transcript has 3 exons.